This 491-nucleotide ribosomal RNA is filed under the name uncultured bacterium. Its description in RNAcentral is "partial 16S ribosomal RNA". It matches the Rfam family "Bacterial small subunit ribosomal RNA", at positions 29 to 507 of the family's 1533-position model. The record is from RNAcentral.
AGUGAACGCUGGCGGUAGGCCUAACACAUGCAAGUCGAACGGCAGCACAGUAAGAGCUUGCUCUUACGGGUGGCGAGUGGCGGACGGGUGAGGAAUACAUCGGAAUCUACUUUUUCGUGGGGGAUAACGUAGGGAAACUUACGCUAAUACCGCAUACGACCUACGGGUGAAAGCAGGGGAUCUUCGGACCUUGCGCGAUUGAAUGAGCCGAUGUCGGAUUAGCUAGUUGGCGGGGUAAAGGCCCACCAAGGCGACGAUCCGUAGCUGGUCUGAGAGGAUGAUCAGCCACACUGGAACUGAGACACGGUCCAGACUCCUACGGGAGGCAGAAGUGGGAAAUAUUGGACAAUGGGCGCAAGCCUGAUCCAGCCAUACCGCGUGGGUGAAGAAGGCCUUCGGGUUGUAAAGCCCUUUUGUUGGGAAAGAAAAGCAGCAGGUUAAUACCCCGCUGUUCGGACGGUACCCAAAGAAUAGCACCGGCUAACUUCGUG